GAGUUUGAUCUUGGCUCAGAACGAACGCUGGCGGCAUGCCUAACACAUGCAAGUCGAACGGGAUCCAGGCUUCGGCCUGGUGAGAGUGGCGGACGGGUGAGUAACGCGUGGGAACCUGCCCAAUGGUCUGGGAUAACCGCGGGAAACUGCGGCUAAUACCGGAUAAGCCCGAGAGGGGAAAGAUUUAUCGCCGAUGGAGGGGCCCGCGUCCGAUUAGGUAGUUGGUGAGGUAACGGCUCACCAAGCCGACGAUCGGUAGCUGGUCUGAGAGGAUGAUCAGCCACACUGGGACUGAGAUACGGCCCAGACUCCUACGGGAGGCAGCAGUGGGGAAUAUUGGACAAUGGGGGCAACCCUGAUCCAGCAAUGCCGCGUGAGUGAUGAAGGCCUUAGGGUUGUAAAGCUCUUUUGGCGGGGACGAUGAUGACGGUACCCGCAGAAUAAGCCCCGGCUAACUUCGUGCCAGCAGCCGCCGU
Molecule: ribosomal RNA, 476 nt
Filed under: uncultured Alphaproteobacteria bacterium
Lineage: Bacteria; Pseudomonadati; Pseudomonadota; Alphaproteobacteria
Description: bacterial SSU rRNA
Rfam family: Bacterial small subunit ribosomal RNA
Source: RNAcentral